This 298-nucleotide long non-coding RNA is filed under the name Salmo salar (Atlantic salmon). RNAcentral describes it as "lncRNA (ENSSSAG00000081893.1)". The record is from RNAcentral. Lineage: Eukaryota; Metazoa; Chordata; Actinopteri; Salmoniformes; Salmonidae.
CAGAGUCAAUGUGGAGGCUAUAUACAGGGGGGUACCGGUACAGUGUCAAUGUGGAGGCUAUAUACAGGGGGUACCGGUACAGAGUCAAUGUGGAGGCUAUAUACAGGGGGUACCGGUACAGAGUCAAUGUGGAGGCUAUAUACAGGGGGGUACCGGUACAGAGUCAAUGUGGAGGCUAUAUACAGGGGUACUGGUACAGAGUCAAUGUGGAGGCUAUAUACAGGGGGUACCGGUACAGAGUCAAUGUGGAGGCUAUAUACAGGGUACCGGUACAGAGUCAAUGUGGAGGCUAUAUACA